AGGACGAACGCUGGCGGCGUGCUUAACACAUGCAAGUCGAGCGGAAAGGCCCUUCGGGGUACUCGAGCGGCGAACGGGUGAGUAACACGUGAGUAACCUGCCCCUAGCUCUGGGAUAGCUCCGGGAAACCGGGAUUAAUACCAGAUACGACCACUUUAGACAUCUGUCGUGGUGGAAAGGGUUCCGGCUAGGGAUGGGCUCGCGGCCUAUCAGCUUGUUGGUGGGGUAACGCCUACCAAGGCGACGACGGGUAG
Molecule: ribosomal RNA, 254 nt
Filed under: uncultured bacterium
Lineage: Bacteria
Description: partial small subunit ribosomal RNA
Rfam family: Bacterial small subunit ribosomal RNA
Source: RNAcentral